AACUAAUCAAUUCUCCUUCCGGCUCAGGCUGCAUAGGUUAACAUUACGGGGAUGUCACGUGAUGAACGAACGACUCAAACCCGAAGACUCAAAAGAUGAACUAAUCAAUUCUCCUUCCGGCUCAGGCUGCAUAGGUUAACAUUACGGGGAUGUCACGUGAUGAACGAACGACUCAAACCCGAAGACUCAAAAGAUGAACUAAUCAAUUCUCCUUCCGGCUCAGGCUGCAUAGGUUAACAUUACAGGGCUGUCACGUGAUGAACGAACGACUCAAACCCGAAGACUCAAAAGAUGAACUAAUCAAUUCUCCUUCCGGCUCAGGCUGCAUAGGUUAACAUUACGGGGAUGUCACGUGAUGAACGAACGACUCAAACCCGAAGACUCAAAAGAUGAACUAAUCAAUUCUCCUUCCGGCUCAGGCUGCAUAGGUUAACAUUACAGGGCUGUCACGUGAUGAACGAACGACUCAAACCCGAAGACUCAAAAGAUGAACUAAUCAAUUCUCCUUCCGGCUCAGGCUGCAUAGGUUAACAUUACAGGGCUGUCACGUGAUGAACGAACGACUCA
This is a long non-coding RNA of Labeo rohita (rohu), 567 nucleotides long. RefSeq lists it as uncharacterized. Lineage: Eukaryota; Metazoa; Chordata; Actinopteri; Cypriniformes; Cyprinidae. The transcript is spliced from 3 exons. The record is from RefSeq and is a predicted model, not a curated record.